RNAcentral lists this ribosomal RNA (292 nucleotides) under uncultured bacterium. RNAcentral's name for it is "partial 16S ribosomal RNA". It matches the Rfam family "Bacterial small subunit ribosomal RNA", at positions 505 to 796 of the family's 1533-position model. The record is from RNAcentral.
GUGCCAGCAGCCGCGGUAAUACGUAGGGUGCAAGCGUUGUCCGGAAUUAUUGGGCGUAAAGAGCGUGUAGGCGGCUCGAUCAGUCCGCUGUAAAAGUCCAGGGCUCAACCCUGGGAUGCCGGUGGAUACUGUCGGGCUAGAGUCCGGAAGAGGCGAGUGGAAUUCCUGGUGUAGCGGUGAAAUGCGCAGAUAUCAGGAGGAACACCAAUGGCGAAGGCAGCUCGCUGGGACGGUACUGACGCUGAGACGCGAAAGCGUGGGGAGCAAACAGGAUUAGAUACCCUUGUAGUCC